UCCAUGGACCUACCCAAAGAGAUAAGCAAAU
RNAcentral lists this non-coding RNA (31 nucleotides) under Mus musculus (house mouse). The record is from RNAcentral. Lineage: Eukaryota; Metazoa; Chordata; Mammalia; Rodentia; Muridae.